Molecule: ribosomal RNA, 119 nt
Filed under: Cebus imitator (Panamanian white-faced capuchin)
Lineage: Eukaryota; Metazoa; Chordata; Mammalia; Primates; Cebidae
Source: RNAcentral
AGGUACAGCCAUACCCCCCUGAACGCACCUGAUCUUGUCAGAUCUCAGAAGCUAAGCAGGGUCUGGCCUGGUUAGUACUUGGAUGGGAGACUGCAUGGGAAUACUAGGUGUUGUAGGCU